This 466-nucleotide ribosomal RNA is filed under the name uncultured bacterium. RNAcentral's name for it is "bacterial SSU rRNA". It matches the Rfam family "Bacterial small subunit ribosomal RNA", at positions 338 to 795 of the family's 1533-position model. The record is from RNAcentral.
CCUACGGGAGGGCACCAGUGGGGAAUAUUGCACAAUGGGCGCAAGCCUGAUGCAGCCAUGCCGCGUGUGUGAAGAAGGCCUUCGGGUUGUAAAGCACUUUCAGCGGGGAGGACGGCGGUGAGGUUAAUAACCUCAUCGAUUGACGUUACCCGCAGAAGAAGCACCGGCUAACUCCGUGCCAGCAGCCGCGGUAAUACGGAGGGUGCAAGCGUUAAUCGGAAUUACUGGGCGUAAAGCGCACGCAGGCGGUCUGUCAAGUCGGAUGUGAAAUCCCCGGGCUCAACCUGGGAACUGCAUUCGAAACUGGCAGGCUAGAGUCUUGUAGAGGGGGGUAGAAUUCCAGGUGUAGCGGUGAAAUGCGUAGAGAUCUGGAGGAAUACCGGUGGCGAAGGCGGCCCCCUGGACAAAGACUGAUGCUCAGGUGCGAAAGCGUGGGGAGCAAACAGGAUUAGAUACCCCCGUAGUC